This is a long non-coding RNA of Leptidea sinapis, 444 nucleotides long. RefSeq lists it as uncharacterized. NCBI's taxonomy places the organism in Eukaryota, Metazoa, Arthropoda, Insecta, Lepidoptera, Pieridae. The transcript has 4 exons. The record is from RefSeq and is a predicted model, not a curated record.
UGUUUACAUUACUACUAAUCGCCUGCAAGUCUCCUCAUAGUUUGUCACGUCGAUAGAAGGAAAUAAAACCAUUCGUCAUGAAACUAUUAGUUUUUGUUACAUUGAUUUUAUCAAUCGUUGCUUGGGCAAGUGCAAAAUCAAAACUCUUCUGUGAUUUUGCGUGUGCACAUGACUACUUUCCUGUCUGUGGCAGUAAUGGACAGACAUAUGACAACCAAUGCAUAUGUGAGUGUCGCGGUGCAUCGGUUGCUCACAAAGGCAAAUGCUAAUAAAAUCAUGAAGCAAAUAAAAGAAAUUAAUAAAAUUCAAAACAAAAUAUAGCAAUAAAUCAUUCAAUUAUUUGUUUUAUUUAAAAGAGCUGUACUUAAGUCACAGGAUUCUCAUAAAUAAUGCUCAUGUUAUUUAGUGACAUAUCACUAUAUUUAAUACGCAGUUGUUCCAGUC